CGAAGUCCUAUGUUUGAACUUAACAACAGUUUCUUCUCAAUGCUGCUGUCCUCAAGACGAGCAAGUCGAGGAGAGGGUAGGGCUUUUGGAAGGAAGACUCCUCGCUGGGACACAGGCUGACCGGUCCCGGGGAGCCUCGCCAAAGGGGAUCAACCAAGCGCAGACGCAACUUUGGGCACGUCUCCCGGCGACGACGAAGUACGGAGCGACGUUUGACCCGCUCCAGAUUGCUGGCUCUCAUGUACGGCAGUCACAGUUCAGAGCUAGACAGGACACGGACCUGGUCCUUGGAGCGGGCGAUGGAGUCAUCGAUGCGGCACAGGAAAUCUGACAUGCUUUCUUCCGCCAUCUGC
Long non-coding RNA from Ixodes scapularis (black-legged tick), 353 nucleotides. RefSeq lists it as uncharacterized. The transcript is spliced from 3 exons. NCBI's taxonomy places the organism in Eukaryota, Metazoa, Arthropoda, Arachnida, Ixodida, Ixodidae. The record is from RefSeq and is a predicted model, not a curated record.